GUGCAGCAGGCGCGAAUCCUCCGCAAUACACGAAAGUGUGACGGGCCAUCCCGAGUGCCGUCCGCUGAGGACGGCUUUUCCCCAGUGUACACAGCUGGGGGAAUAAGGAGAGGGCAAGCCUGGUGUCAGCCGCCGCGGUAAUACCAGCUCUCCGAGUGGUGGGGACGCUUAUUGGGCCUAAAGCAUCCGUAGCCGGUCUGGUCAAGU
This 207-nucleotide ribosomal RNA is filed under the name uncultured microorganism. RNAcentral describes it as "partial 16S ribosomal RNA". It matches the Rfam family "Archaeal small subunit ribosomal RNA", at positions 330 to 539 of the family's 1478-position model. The record is from RNAcentral.